Molecule: ribosomal RNA, 447 nt
Filed under: uncultured bacterium
Lineage: Bacteria
Description: bacterial SSU rRNA
Rfam family: Bacterial small subunit ribosomal RNA
Source: RNAcentral
UGGGGAAUCUUGGACAAUGGGCGCAAGCCUGAUCCAGCCAUGCCGCGUGGAUGAUGAAGGCCUUAGGGUUGUAAAAUCCUUUCGUUGGGGACGAUAAUGACGGUACCCAAAGAAGAAGCUCCGGCUAACUUCGUGCCAGCAGCCGCGGUAAUACGAAGGGGGCUAGCGUUGUUCGGAUUUACUGGGCGUAAAGCGCGUGUAGGCGGGUCGUUAAGUUGGGGGUGAAAUCCCGAGGCUCAACCUCGGAACUGCCUUCAAAACUGGCGACCUGGACCUAAGUAGAGGCAAGUGGAAUUGCGAGUGUAGAGGUGAAAUUCGUAGAUAUUCGCAGGAACACCAGUGGCGAAGGCGACUUGCUGGACUUAUGGUGACGCUGAGACGCGAAAGCGUGGGGAGCAAACAGGAUUAGAUACCCCGGUAGUCCCUGAGCGGGCUGGCAAGGCGCAU